GCCAGUAUAGCUCAGUAGAUAGAGCAGGGCUUUUGUAAAGCUCAGGUCGGGGGUUUGAUUCCCUCUACUGGCU
RNAcentral lists this transfer RNA (73 nucleotides) under Haloarcula tailed virus 2. It matches the Rfam family "tRNA". Rfam says of the family: Transfer RNA (tRNA) molecules are approximately 80 nucleotides in length. The record is from Rfam by way of RNAcentral. Lineage: Duplodnaviria; Heunggongvirae; Uroviricota; Caudoviricetes; Thumleimavirales; Soleiviridae.